This 77-nucleotide transfer RNA is filed under the name Sphingobium yanoikuyae. Its description in RNAcentral is "tRNA-Met". It matches the Rfam family "tRNA". From Rfam's summary of the family: Transfer RNA (tRNA) molecules are approximately 80 nucleotides in length. Their secondary structure includes four short double-helical elements and three loops (D, anti-codon, and T loops). RNAcentral also lists the same sequence under 3 other names. Lineage: Bacteria; Pseudomonadati; Pseudomonadota; Alphaproteobacteria; Sphingomonadales; Sphingobiaceae. The record is from RNAcentral.
AGCCGCAUAGAGCAGUCCGGUAGCUCGUCAGCCUCAUAAGCUGAAGGUCGCGGGUUCAAAUCCCGCUGUGGCAACCA